UUAAUAUUUUGUAUGUUAACUACUUGUCAAUUAUCCACAUUCUAUUACUGUAAAGUGCUAGAAAAUAUGUUGGCGCUUUUUUAAAUAAUAACAAAAUCAGUAAAGUCACAGGCAGUUAUUGUACAGAAUUUAAAUCAAUGCCUCUAGAUAGUUGAAAUUAAUCCCAGCAGAUACAUUUUUCCACUCUUCAUUGGCAAGUGAAAGUUUAGCCCUGGCUAGUAGAAAUUCACCCUUGUGAGGGCUCAAUAAGCUCUCCAGGCUUGCAUUGGUGAGUAACUUUUUUUUAAAGCCUGGCUAGCAGCAUAGGACUUAAAAUAUAAAGUCCUGGAUUGACAAAAUGUUUAUACACCUAGA
This is a non-coding RNA of Pelobates cultripes (western spadefoot toad), 354 nucleotides long. The record is from the annotation of a GenBank genome assembly. NCBI's taxonomy places the organism in Eukaryota, Metazoa, Chordata, Amphibia, Anura, Pelobatidae.